CGCACAUUGCGCCCCUUGGUAUUCCGAGGGGCAUGCCUGUUCGAGCGUCAUUAUGACCACUCAAGCCUCGCUUGGUAUUGGGGUUCGCGCGCUCGCGGCCCCUAAAAUCAGUGGCGGUGCCGUCUGGCUCUAAGCGUAGUAAUUCUCUCGCUACAGGGUCUAGCCGGUUACUUGCCAAAACCCCAACUUUCUUAGGUUGACCUCGGAUCAGGUAGGGAUACCCGCUGAACUUAA
This 234-nucleotide unclassified non-coding RNA is filed under the name Hyaloscypha hepaticicola. Its description in RNAcentral is "partial contains 5.8S ribosomal RNA, internal transcribed spacer 2, and large subunit ribosomal RNA". Lineage: Eukaryota; Fungi; Ascomycota; Leotiomycetes; Helotiales; Hyaloscyphaceae. The record is from RNAcentral.